Molecule: transfer RNA, 70 nt
Filed under: Nitrobacter vulgaris
Lineage: Bacteria; Pseudomonadati; Pseudomonadota; Alphaproteobacteria; Hyphomicrobiales; Nitrobacteraceae
Description: tRNA-Glu
Source: RNAcentral
GCACGGGAAAAGUGUUUGUUGCGGCCCUCUCAAGGCUGAAACAGGGGUUCAAUUCCCCUAGGGAGCGCCA